Molecule: long non-coding RNA, 1585 nt
Filed under: Gossypium barbadense (sea-island cotton)
Lineage: Eukaryota; Viridiplantae; Streptophyta; Magnoliopsida; Malvales; Malvaceae
Description: long non-coding RNA (GBAR_LNC021890)
Source: RNAcentral
UCGGUUCGACUUAUCUCCCGACCUCAUCUAGCCUAUGAUAACUUAUUAGGGUUGUCAAGCCCGACAUUUUAGGAAUACAUAAUUUAUACCAAGUAAUCCAUCUCAAGAAGUCCCAAAUACUCCAUUAAUCACAUCCCCAUCCACUUGUUAAUCUCUCCUAAGGGAUUUAGCCACUCAUGUUAUUCAUAAUCUCAACUUCAAUUGAAUAAACCAUGUGAGAAACACGAUCGAUUUGAAGAAGAAAAGAGGUGUGAAUAAUUGUGGAUUGAGUAUCAAAUGGGGAAUGGAGUAGCAAAUAUCUCAAUUCGAAUAACGAAAUAAAACAAAUGCAACAGAAAAUAUAAACUGAAUACUUUAAUUAAAUAAACAAGUUCUUGAACCAAAACUGAUUCAAGAAGAAAACAAGAACGUAUUUAAAAACUGGAAAAGAAAAUAAACCAAAAUUAAUUCUAAACUACGAGGGUUUUUGAAGGCGUCACACAUGACUUUUUUACAUUCAACCCCUACUGUCUUAUUUAUAGAGGUGUUGGCAGCCUAAAUUAGGUAUUCGGCACGUCCUAGGUCUUUGUAUAAGUUUGAUUGCAUGGACAAAAAUAACCUUAAAAUAUUUGGACAGCACGUCAACCGUGUAUUGUACCACACCCAUUGUGUGGCACAACAUGACAUGCAAAUAUUGUCUUGUGUUGUUUCUUUGGUGUUUUGACGUCCCAAGAAACUUGUGCAUCACUCGACCUUUGCUUCCAAGUCAAUUGGGUCUUUAUAUCUUCAUCUUGUACUCUCAAUUGAACCAAUUAGCACAAUCUAAGUCCCGUGUCGGCCUAUUGGGUCACAACACCUACAAAAUGUGUUAAAAACACUUAUUUUUAUUAACUUUCUAUCCCAAGGCCUAAAUACUGAAAAUAUAAAUUAAAAUCCUAAAUUUCUUAGAAAACAAUAUCCUUAAUAGUGAAAUUGGCCCGUAUUAAUUAAUAUAUUUGACUACAAGUCAAAAGACAUCUUCAUCCUACAACAAUUGCAAAUUCGCUUGGAGCGCAAACAACAUAGACUCUACCCCUUCGUACGCAGUUUAGCGUCUCAAGCAGCAAACCUCCGAUACACUCAAAACUGGUCCAUUUAACUUUGUUUUCUUCUCUAUAAUAUUUAGUUUCUUGUUCGUUGUCUUCUAUAUGUACAAAAAAACAAAAACAAAAAGAACGUCUAUAUUCUAGAUUCUCUUUUAACCCUCCCAAUGCCUUGAUCUGUUUUUUGUUGCCUCAAGAUGCAUUUAUUGGCAUCCCUCCAUCAAAUAUCCAUUUGUCUCAUACUACAUAUCUUUCAAAAGGGCAAGAAAAAGAAAAUAUUUCUCGUUUAGGGAAGACUAUAUCGCUUAUUGUUGAAAUUCAAGCACCCAAAUAAAUGAAAUUUAGCAAAAUUCAAAAGUGAAAUAAUUUUAUUGAAAGAACGAUAUCAUUUUGUUGGAAGAAGGAAGAAGAGAAAUAAUUUUUAAAGGAGAUUUUGGUGGAGGAAGAGAAAUAAAUUUAGGGAGAAAAUUUUAAAACUCACUUCUAUUAUAAAUUUUUUUGUUUCUUUUUUAUUUUUUGCUUGG